CGGGGUGCACCAGGCGCGAAAACUUUACAAUGCUGGCAACAGCGAUAAGGGGACCUCGAGUGCCAGGAUACUGGCGGUCGUGAUGCCUAAAAAGCAUUGCAUAGCAAGGGCCGGGCAAGACCGGUGCCAGCCGCCGCGGUAACACCGGCGGCUCGAGUGGUAACCGUUAUUAUUGGGUCUAAAGGGUCUGUAGCCGGCCGGAUAAGUCUCUUGGGAAAUCCAGCAGCUCAACUGUUGGGCUUUCAGGAGAUACUGUCUGGCUCGAGGCCGGGAGAGGUGAGAGGUACUUCAGGGGUAGGGGUGAAAUCUUGUAAUCCUUGAAGGACCACCAGUGGCGAAGGCGUCUCACCAGAACGGACCUGACGGCAAGGGACGAAAGCUAGGGGCACGAACCGGAUUAGAUACCCGGGUAGUCCUAGCCGUAAACGAUACUCGCUAGGUGUCGGCCACGGUGCGACCGUUGUCGGUGCCGUAGGGAAGCCGUGAAGCGAGCCACCUGGGAAGUACGGCCGCAAGGCUGAAACUUAAAGGAAUUGGCGGGGGAGCACAAGGGCGAUUCGC
RNAcentral lists this ribosomal RNA (561 nucleotides) under uncultured archaeon. RNAcentral describes it as "bacterial SSU rRNA". It matches the Rfam family "Archaeal small subunit ribosomal RNA", at positions 326 to 894 of the family's 1478-position model. The record is from RNAcentral.